AGGAUGACAUCUACUUCGCCAUGCCUAGAGCUGAUCCGUGCUGGUUGCUGAGGAAAUACAUCAACUUUGCACUGUGAACACUUUGCCGUGGACAAAGUGGAGUCCAACCCAGGGUCGUCACAUAUGGUUGCCUGCCGGCCACUCCUUUGUCGAAUCCCCCGGCCGUGCCAUUCUCAAGCCCACCGGCCGCCGCUCACUCUAGGCUGCCAUCCGUUCCUCAGUUCCAACUUUGCAAGGACAGUCUGGCACUUAUGACUCACAGCCUCAUCACUCUCCAACGGAUGGAGGAGAAUCCAGACAGCGACAGGCAUUAUGAGAGGACCACUGAUGACCCCUCACCCUCUAGCCAGGGGACCAAACAGCAGAGUGAGGAGUCCCCCUUGGGUGAUCACGACCUACCUAUCAUGCAAUGGGAAGAUUUAAAUUUGCGAAUUGCAGAGUUAGAAAGGCAGGAAGAGGAAAGAAGGAAAAAAGCAGAGAGUCUGGGUUUAUCAGAGCGAGACCGAAUACUUGACAGAUGCUGGACAGAGUCAAAACACCCUUCACUUCACCGGGCGCCAGGGGCGGAUGAGAACGACUACAGUCCCUGCCGUGUCCCUGUCAUAACGUCACGGUUUAAUAGUCCUAAAAACCUUCAGCUGUGUUUCAUCAACAACAGUGAGAGUGAGGAGGAGGAUGACGAAGGAGCAUCUAGCAAAGAGCAAACCACCCACAGUAACAUGAGCAUAAGGAGAAAGAUUCUUAGCCUUAGUGAUCUGCAGACAUGCUCUUUACUGCAGCUGAAAGCGCUCAGGGCCUCGCUGAAUGAGGACAUUCAAGACUUGAGCUCAGAAUUGGUGAAACAUCUCGUAGUACGGGACCACCUUCAGACUAAGCAAGAUGCUUUGCUCCUGGAUGUACAGGAUAUGACAUCAUUAUGAACGAUUUUUGUUUUGAACACUGCGGAACUGCAGUUUAACGUUGGCACUUUCUCAAAGCAGUAAUUUACUGUUACUCAUCCUGUGGACUAACAAAGGCCAGAAUAUCCUGUUUAUUCUUGAAGAAAUGUAGCCCUCUCAGAAACUUUUGUUAAAAUGUGAGUCACAUUGAUUAUAGUCACAAGUUUUAUUGUGGAAAAAAGUGCCUUAUAACGAACCCUAAUGACUCUGAUUCAUAUGUCACUUACGGUUUAAUUUUGCUUUCAUAAAUAGAGAAUAUAUUAAGCUGCUGUCAAAGCCAUAUGUGAUAUAACUGUGAUGUAUUAAUCAUCAGUUAUGCUACUUUAAGCAUUCCAUUGAAAUACAUUAUAUGUAAUCGUCAUGAAAAUAUAAACGUGUGCAUUCUUAUGAAUGUGCCUUACAACUUUCUUGUGUAUCAAACUUAUACAUGAGACUGAAGUAUAUCUCAGUGCUAAAUAUUCACAAUUUAAUAAAUAAUUUGUUUUAUAUCUUAUACA
Molecule: long non-coding RNA, 1435 nt
Organism: Cyprinus carpio (common carp)
Lineage: Eukaryota; Metazoa; Chordata; Actinopteri; Cypriniformes; Cyprinidae
Source: Ensembl